AAUCAACGCUGGCGGCGUGCCUCAGACAUGCAAGUCGAACGAUUAAAGCUCUCUUCGGAGAGUGUAUAGAGUGGCGCACGGGUGAGUAACACGUAAGUAAUCUACCCUCGGGUGGGAAUAACAUCGGGAAACCGAUGCUAAUACCGCAUAAUGCAGCGGCUCCUAAUGGAGACAGUUGUUAAAGGAUUUAUUCGCCUGAGGAGGAGCUUGCGGCAGAUAGCUAGUUGGUAAGGUAAUGGCUUACCAAGGCUACGAUCUGUAGCCGGUCUAAGAGGACGGUCGGUCACACUGACACUGAAUAACGGGUCAGACUCCUACGGGGAGGCAGCAGGUCGGGAAUUUUUGGGCAAUGGGCGAAAGCCUGACCCAGCAACGCCGCGUGAAGGAUGAA
RNAcentral lists this ribosomal RNA (391 nucleotides) under uncultured bacterium. RNAcentral describes it as "bacterial SSU rRNA". It matches the Rfam family "Bacterial small subunit ribosomal RNA", at positions 32 to 412 of the family's 1533-position model. The record is from RNAcentral.